GACACUGACGUCGCGACGCAUAUCAAUAAGCGGAGGAAAAGAAACUAACAUAGGAUUCCCUCAGUAACGGCGAGUGAAGCGGGAAGAGCUCAAAUUUGAAAUCUUCAAGGUUCUACCUUGACGAAUUGUAGUUUAAAGAAGUGUUUUCUGUAGUGGAGUUUGGUAAAAGUUCUUUGGAAUAGGACAUCAUAGAGGGUGAGAAUCCCGUAUUUGGUCAUUCCUUCUAGCUUUGUGAUACACUUUCAAAGAGUCGGAUUGUUUGGGAAUGCAGUCCAAAAUGGGUGGUAAAUUUCAUCUAAAGCUAAAUAUUGGCGAGAGACCGAUAGCGAACAAGUACCGUGAGGGAAAGAUGAAAAGAACUUUGAAAAGAGAGUUAAACAGUACGUGAAAUUGUCAAAAGGGAAGCGUUUGACACCAGUGUUGUUUUUCCGAAAAUCAAUUAUAAAUGUUUUGUUUCUGAGGAGUGAUGACUUCAUCGGCUUCCUUCUCUCUUCACGAAACUUUUGUAAUGCACUUUUCGGUUAACAAGUCAACAUCAAUUUCUUUUGUUGUAAAAGAGUAUUCGGAAGGUGGCUUUCUUUUCGGAGAAAGUGUUUAUAGCCCUAUACUUCUACAAUCGGAGAGAUUGAGGUCUGCAGCGUAGAUCCUUCGGGGUUAGAUACACUUGUGCUAAGCUAUAGCUUUUCAUAGACAACUUGUUGACUAUGUUUAGUCUUGUAGCUUACUCGCUUGUGCUAUUUUACCUACGCUUAGGAUGUUGAGUCGUAGAGCACGCAG
Molecule: ribosomal RNA, 777 nt
Filed under: uncultured Neocallimastigales
Lineage: Eukaryota; Fungi; Neocallimastigomycota; Neocallimastigomycetes; Neocallimastigales
Description: partial large subunit ribosomal RNA
Rfam family: Eukaryotic large subunit ribosomal RNA
Source: RNAcentral